UACGUAGGGUGCGAACGUUAAUCGGAAUUACUGGGCGUAAAGCGUGCGCAGGCGGUCUGUUAAGACCGAUGUGAAAUCCCCGGGCUUAACCUGGGAACUGCAUUGGUGACUGGCAGGCUUUGAGUGUGGCAGAGGGAGGUAGAAUUCCACGUGUAGCAGUGAAAUGCGUAGAGAUGUGGAGGAAUACCGAUGGCGAAGGCAGCCUCCUGGGCCAACACUGACGCUCAUGCACGAAAGCGUGGGGAGCAAACAGG
RNAcentral lists this ribosomal RNA (254 nucleotides) under uncultured bacterium. Its description in RNAcentral is "partial 16S ribosomal RNA". It matches the Rfam family "Bacterial small subunit ribosomal RNA", at positions 524 to 776 of the family's 1533-position model. The record is from RNAcentral.